GGGGCGGUGGUCUAGUGGCGUAUGGCGCUCUCUCUCUUGAAGGGAGAGAGAGGUCGGUGGUUCGAAUCCAUCCCGCUCCA
Molecule: transfer RNA, 80 nt
Filed under: Colletotrichum orbiculare MAFF 240422
Lineage: Eukaryota; Fungi; Ascomycota; Sordariomycetes; Glomerellales; Glomerellaceae
Description: tRNA-Lys (CTT) (tRNA-Lys-CTT-10-1)
Rfam family: tRNA
About the family: Transfer RNA (tRNA) molecules are approximately 80 nucleotides in length. Their secondary structure includes four short double-helical elements and three loops (D, anti-codon, and T loops).
Source: RNAcentral